AUUGAACGCUGGCGGCAUGCCUUACACAUGCAAGUCGAACGGUAACAGGUCUUCGGAUGCUGACGAGUGGCGAACGGGUGAGUAAUACAUCGGAACGUGCCUAGUAGUGGGGGAUAACUACUCGAAAGAGUGGCUAAUACCGCAUGAGAUCUACGGAUGAAAGCAGGGGAUCGCAAGACCUUGUGCUACUAGAGCGGCCGAUGGCAGAUUAGGUAGUUGGUGGGAUAAAAGCUUACCAAGCCGACGAUCUGUAGCUGGUCUGAGAGGACGAUCAGCCGCACUGGGACUGGGACACGGCCCAGACUCCGACGGGAGGCAGCAGUGGGGAAUUUUGGACAAUGGGCGCAAGCCUGAUCCAGCAAUGCCGCGUGCAGGAUGAAGGCCUUCGGGUUGUAAACUGCUUUUGUACGGAACGAAAAGCCCCGGGUUAAUACCCUGGGGUCAUGACGGUACCGUAAGAAUAAGCGCCGGCUAACUACGUGCCAGCCGCCGCAGUAA
This 498-nucleotide ribosomal RNA is filed under the name uncultured bacterium. RNAcentral's name for it is "partial 16S ribosomal RNA". It matches the Rfam family "Bacterial small subunit ribosomal RNA", at positions 30 to 523 of the family's 1533-position model. The record is from RNAcentral.